Pezoporus occidentalis (night parrot) is the source of this 2953-nucleotide long non-coding RNA. RefSeq lists it as uncharacterized. NCBI's taxonomy places the organism in Eukaryota, Metazoa, Chordata, Aves, Psittaciformes, Psittacidae. The transcript is spliced from 3 exons. The record is from RefSeq and is a predicted model, not a curated record.
GCUUUUCUGUUACAAAAUCGUGGUCAGAUUAAUACUAGUUACUCCUGAUUAUCAAAAGUAUCAGGAAACAGAUCACAGCUGUAUUUAAGAACAAAACCAAAAGUAUCUUUUUAGCAUAGAAUCCUUUUGCAUUUGCAAAUAUGAAGGGAGACAAACUGAUGGAGUUCUGUGAGUUAAUAAUUUCAUCACUUGGCAUAAGAGCUUUCUAAUAAUAUGUGUCACAGUCUAUGAAGAUUCCAGUUUUUACAUCUGCUAUACGCAUUCCUGGAAUCCUGUAUCCUGCAUACAGGCUUUACCUUUAAAUUUAUGCUGUAGAAAAAUACUACUAUUUCUUCCACAUCAAAGAGAAGCCAACAGCAGGGGGCUUUGGGUUACAAACAAUAUAAAUGACAGCUGAUUAGGAGAAAAAAAGCAGUCCUACAACAGCCAACUGUUACAUUUAGAGACACAGUUCUGUCCCUGAGCCAUGCCACGGUAGCUAGAGAUGAAGAAAUACCUGAUUGCUGCAGAUAAGUUCUGAAAAGGUAUCUGCAUAUCUUAGCAUCUAAAAGGAGGAAGAAAUAAAUUUUGUUUGUGAUACAUCAGAGUAAACCAAAUGAAAUUAGAAUAAGGCAACAGCUUAGGCAAGCAAAUCUAAUUUUAGAAAAAGCUUAGUAUUGUCACGCCUUUUUUUUUUUUUCCUAGAAUUGCUAGUAUCUUAAAACAAAGUGUGAUCUUUAAACUUUAGACUCAACAACAAACCACAACCAGAAAUGGUAACACAGCCUCAAGGCUUCCAGCUAAGUGUUUGCAUUUCCUGGCAGGAGAUAAUUUUUGAUGAAAAAAUAAAUUCAUAGUAAUGAAAAGAAAAAGCACACAUUUAUGAAGUAGUGAAGUCUGUGGAGAUAUUUAAAUAAGAAUGAUCUAAUAUUUUAUAAUUCUCACAGUGUUGGCUUACCUCAAGCAAUAUCCAUUUUAAAGGUGGUAAAAAGGUUUGUGUAUUUAAUUAGAAAAAAUUUCAUUUUCAGUGUGAUAGGCAGCUCUGUAACCAUUCAGCUCUUACUAAAUUAAUACAAUCUGUAUAGAUACAGCCUCAAGCCAAGCAAUUUACCUCUGAAAUCUCAAUAAACCACUUGCUCUUGAUAAACAGUAGGAUUUGAUAAAGAGUGGGCUAAUGAAAGAUAAUGAUAUUUCCAGUAAUAGCAUUAGUGGAGUUUCACUGGGGACAAGAGAGAAGAACAAGAUGUUCAGCAAGAAACUAGACCAUCAAAGCCUGAGAGCAUAUUAAGAAGAAAGCAAGCAAAGAGGAAUUCACAUCUAGUACAUGAAAAUACACCGAUUUUCUUUGGCUUUGUUUUCUGAAAGGUAUAGGGUUGGAUUUCUGGGACAAAGGAAGUGUUUAACACUGGUAACAGACCUCUGCAUGACCGGAUUGACCAAACAAAUCACAGAUGCAAGGUUUCAGUAACUGGAUGGGCCCAUGUGCAUCUAAAGAUACAGCGGCAGAGACAAAACAUCUGUGAAUUAGUUUUGCAGCCACACUCUCCAGAUGCUAGCACUCAGUGUGAAAGUUUAGCUUUACAUAUUCAAAACAGAAGCAUAUCCCGAAGUGUCAUAAAGGUUCUUAGAGGCCAGCCACACACAUUUGUAUAUACAUAGUAGAUCACGUAUAUACUUGAGUGCAAGCACAGAAAGAGUGAGUCUUGACUUCUGAUGGUUAAAGAAUUAAAAACUCUGGGCUUUCUUAAGCAGCUUGUGAGUCCAUUAGCAAUGCUACAGGUUGUAAAAACCCGAUAAGGAUAGGGUUUUUUUAGUCUUUAAUUAGUAACAAAACAAUUAGUAGAAUUUUAACAUUCUGAUUGCCUGAGGUCAUAGCUGGUUAAUAGCAAACUCAGAAAUUAUGUAUCAGACUUCUACUGUCUAGCUUGGGAAACUGAAGUAGGCACAGAGCUGUUUGCUUAAAAGAACUAAAACACAUGAAAAAUUAAGGAAAUGAAAAAAUAAAGAAGGUACAAAAUUAAUCCAUAAUACCAUCACUAUGUGGCACUGCAGUGAAAACAAGACAGCUUUUGAGUAGCCUGAUUUGGGCUAGAAAAGUGCUAAACAGGGAUGAGUCUGUAAGGCUGCUGGAAAAGUACCAUUUCUGUUGAAAUUUGACUAACUAAUCAAGUAUCAGGACAUUUACAAGAGGGAUUUAUAAGAGGACAUUUCAUCUCACCCUGACUUUGAUUCUUGUACUUUCAUUUUUAACAUUAUGUAAUUGGCCAGUAUGAGAUAAGAAUUAUUUCCUUCUGAGAAUUACUUAGCCCUUAGGAUGAAGGGCAAACUUCGAGCUCUUGCCACUUCAGGUCCUAGUACACUUGAGCUGUACUUAAGGAGCAAAAUCUGUCAGUGAAUGUCCAUGUUUCCAUUUUGAAUGACUUCUAGCAUUUUGAUUUAUUUUUUAAGAGGAUCAGCCUUUCCUAUUAUUUUUAUUUAGCUUUCAUAGCUAAUAUCUACUUGUCCGAGGUCCUCUGAAGAGCUUCCAUGAUGUCUGAUAAAAGCUGACUGACAAGGGAAUUGUCUAGAUGAAAGAAAAUGAAACAGCUGAAAAGAUCCCAAAGUCUGUCAGUCCAGUUGAGCCGUCCUUACUCAGGUUGUGGAUUUGCUCAUGCUGCUGCCUCAUCUCCAUCUGCAGGUUUUUUGUUUCCCAGAAAGCGUGGCUACUGACUCAGUCACUGUUUUCCACAGAACUUGUGCAUCAGGUUUUGUUUUCUUUCAAUUAUAUUCCAAGCCCUCUUUGCUGUUAAGGAAACCCGAAUGUGAUCUGACGCUCUGAACUUGGAGAAGGACAUAAGUGUGUCUGACAGGAAGUCUGUAUUGUAUCUUGCAGUGCUUCAAAAGUGUAACUUGUACUGUUAAAUUUUAAAGAUAUUAAGCAUCCAGUUAUGAAUUUUGGCUGUAAUUCCUGUAUAUUAAAGUAAAUAAAUAAGUA